This 468-nucleotide ribosomal RNA is filed under the name uncultured soil bacterium. RNAcentral describes it as "bacterial SSU rRNA". It matches the Rfam family "Bacterial small subunit ribosomal RNA", at positions 26 to 478 of the family's 1533-position model. The record is from RNAcentral.
AGAUUGAACGCUGGCGGCAUGCUUUACACAUGCAAGUCGAACGGUAACAGGCCGCAAGGUGCUGACGAGUGGCGAACGGGUGAGUAAUGUAUCGGAACGUGCCCAGUCGUGGGGGAUAACGCAGCGAAAGCUGCGCUAAUACCGCAUACGAUCUAUGGAUGAAAGCGGGGGACCGUAAGGCCUCGCGCGAUUGGAGCGGCCGAUAUCAGAUUUAGGUAGUUGGUGGGGUAAAGGCUCACCAAGCCAACGAUCUGUAGCUGGUCUGAGAGGACGACCAGCCACACUGGGACUGAGACACGGCCCAGACUCCGUAACGGGAGGCAGCAGUGGGGAAUUUUGGACAAGUGGGCGACAACGGCCUAGGACUCCAGCAAUCGGCCGCGGUGCCGAAGGAAGAAGGCCCGUUCGGGUUGUUAAACGUGUCGUUUUAGUAACGAACGUAAACGUCCGUUAGGUUAACUACCGUGG